UGAUGCAGCGACGCCGCGUGAGUGAAGAAGUAUCUCGGUAUGUAAAGCUCUAUCAGCAGGGAAGAAAAUGACGGUACCUGACUAAGAAGCCCCGGCUAACUACGUGCCAGCAGCCGCGGUAAUACGUAGGGGGCAAGCGUUAUCCGGAAUUACUGGGUGUAAAGGGUGCGUAGGUGGUAUGGCAAGUCAGAAGUGAAAACCCAGGGCUUAACUCUGGGACUGCUUUUGAAACUGUCAGACUGGAGUGCAGGAGAGGUAAGCGGAAUUCCUAGUGUAGCGGUGAAAUGCGUAGAUAUUAGGAGGAACAUCAGUGGCGAAGGCGGCUUACUGGACUGAAACUGACACUGAGGCACGAAAGCGUGGGGAGCAAACAGG
RNAcentral lists this ribosomal RNA (375 nucleotides) under uncultured Anaerostipes sp. RNAcentral describes it as "bacterial SSU rRNA". It matches the Rfam family "Bacterial small subunit ribosomal RNA", at positions 384 to 776 of the family's 1533-position model. Lineage: Bacteria; Bacillati; Bacillota; Clostridia; Lachnospirales; Lachnospiraceae. The record is from RNAcentral.